RNAcentral lists this ribosomal RNA (301 nucleotides) under uncultured bacterium. RNAcentral's name for it is "partial 16S ribosomal RNA". It matches the Rfam family "Bacterial small subunit ribosomal RNA", at positions 509 to 808 of the family's 1533-position model. The record is from RNAcentral.
CAGUAGCCGCGGUAAUACGUAGGGUGCAAGCGUUAAUCGGAAUUACUGGGCGUAAAGCGUGCGCAGGCGGUUAUAUAAGACAGAUGUGAAAUCCCCGGGCUCAACCUGGGAACUGCAUUUGUGACUGUAUAGCUAGAGUACGGCAGAGGGGGAUGGAAUUCCGCGUGUAGCAGUGAAAUGCGUAGAUAUGCGGAGGAACACCGAUGGCGAAGGCAAUCCCCUGGGCCUGUACUGACGCUCAUGCACGAAAGCGUGGGGAGCAAACAGGAUUAGAUCCCCUGUAGUCCCUGUCUCUUAUACA